AUAUUUACCUGACAAGGGAAAUGUCAUGAUCACAGUGAAGGUUUUCCCAGGGAGAGGCUCCUACAUUGUACUCCAGGUGUGCUGGAUUUCCCCAAAUGUGAGAAACUUGACUGAUCGUUUAUAGUAGCAACAAAAUGCUUUGUUC
Molecule: small nuclear RNA, 145 nt
Filed under: Salvator merianae (Argentine black and white tegu)
Lineage: Eukaryota; Metazoa; Chordata; Lepidosauria; Squamata; Teiidae
Description: U1 spliceosomal RNA (ENSSMRG00000021427.1)
Rfam family: U1 spliceosomal RNA
About the family: U1 is a small nuclear RNA (snRNA) component of the spliceosome (involved in pre-mRNA splicing).
Source: RNAcentral